AAGCAGGGGAUCGCAAGACCUUGCGCUUUUGGAGCGGCCGAUGUCUGAUUAGCUAGUUGGUGAGGUAAAGGCUUACCAAGGCUUCGAUCAGUAGCUGGUCUGAGAGGACGACCAGCCACACUGGGACUGAGACACGGCCCAGACUCCUACGGGAGGCAGCAGUGGGGAAUUUUGGACAAUGGGGGAAACCCUGAUCCAGCCAUGCCGCGUGAGUGAAGAAGGCCUUCGGGUUGUAAAGCUCUUUCAGCCGGAACGAAACGGUUACGGUUAAUACCCGUGACUAAU
RNAcentral lists this ribosomal RNA (285 nucleotides) under uncultured beta proteobacterium. Its description in RNAcentral is "partial 16S ribosomal RNA". It matches the Rfam family "Bacterial small subunit ribosomal RNA", at positions 202 to 477 of the family's 1533-position model. Lineage: Bacteria; Pseudomonadati; Pseudomonadota; Betaproteobacteria. The record is from RNAcentral.